RNAcentral lists this ribosomal RNA (1421 nucleotides) under human gut metagenome. RNAcentral's name for it is "bacterial LSU rRNA". It matches the Rfam family "Bacterial large subunit ribosomal RNA", at positions 466 to 1980 of the family's 2925-position model. The record is from RNAcentral.
CUAAAUACUACCCAGUGACCGAUAGCGUAUAGUACUGUGAAGGAAAGGUGAAAAGGACCCCGGGAGGGGAGUGAAAUAGAACCUGAAACCUUGUGCCUACAAGCACAUAGAGCACAUCAACGUGUGAUAUGGUACUUUUUGUAGAACGGUCCGGCGAGCGAUUGUAUGUUGCGAGCUUAAGGUCUUAAGGACUGGAGGCGCAGCGAGAGCGAGUCUGAAGAGGGCGUUCAGUAACAUGCAAUGGGCCCGAAACCGGGUGACCUACCCAUGAUCAGGCUGAAGUGAAAGUAAAAUUUCAUGGAGGGCCGAACCGACCUCCGUUGAAAAGGCGGCGGAUGAAUUGUGGGUAGCGGAGAAAUUCCAAUCGAACUCGGAGAUAGCUGGUUCUCCCCGAAAUAGCUUUAGGGCUAGCCUCAUAUUAGAUACCCGGAGGUAAAGCACUGAAUGGCCUAGCGCCCGAGAGGGUAGCGAAGCCUAUCAAACUAAGAAUGCCGGAGUAUUGAUGUAUGGGAGUCAGACAGUGUGAGAUAAAUCUCAUUGUCAAAAGGGAAACAGCCCAGAUCUACAGCUAAGGUCCCAAAUUGUAUCUAAGUGGAAAACGAUGUGGAAAUACGCAGACAACCAGGAUGUUGGCUCAGAAGCAGCCACUCAUUUAAAGAGUGCGUAAUAGCUCACUGGUCGAGCGUCUCUGCGCGGAAAAUUUAACGGGGCUAAGAUACAAACCGAAGCUUAGGCUGCACGUAAGUGCGGGGUAGGGGAGCGUUGUGUAAGCGGAGAAACAGUAGCGUAAGCGGCUGUGGAGUUUACAGAAGUGAGAAUGCCGGAAUGAGUAGCGCGAAUGUGGUGAGAAUCCACAUGGCCGGAAACCUCAGGUUUUUGGAGGAAGGUUCGUCCGCUCCAAGUUAGGCGGGAGCUAAGGUCAGGCCGAAAGGCGUAGCCGAUGCACAGACGGUAGAGAUUCCGUCCCCACCGAAAGAUUUAAGCACAGGGACACUUUUUGAAGGUCGGAGCCAGGUGUUGGUUCUGGUAGAGAUCGAGGGAAAUAUAGUACCGAAGUCCGGCUGGAUGAGAGGCGAGAAAAGCUGUGUGUAUAUCUAAGGUGCCCGUACCGCAAACCGACACAGGUAGGUAGGAAGAAGAUUCUAAGGCCAACGGGAGAAGGGUUGUUAAGGAACUCGGCAAAUUGACCCCGUAACUUCGGGAGAAGGGGUGCUCCAGAGAUGGAGCCGCAGAGAAUCGGCCCAAGCAACUGUUUACCAAAAACACAGGUUUGUGCUAAAUCGAAAGAUGACGUAUACGAGCUGACGCCUGCCCGGUGCUGGAAGGUUAAGAGGAGAUGUGCAAGCAUUGAAUCGAAGCCCCAGUGAACGGCGGCCGUAACUAUAACGGUCCUAAGGUAGCGAAAUUCCUUGUCAGGUAAG